This 510-nucleotide ribosomal RNA is filed under the name uncultured bacterium. RNAcentral's name for it is "bacterial SSU rRNA". It matches the Rfam family "Bacterial small subunit ribosomal RNA", at positions 19 to 518 of the family's 1533-position model. The record is from RNAcentral.
AUGGCUCAGAACGAACGCUGGCGGCGCGUUUAAGCGAUGCAAGUCGAGCGGCAAGGGCCUUCGGGCCCCUAGAGCGGCGGACGGGUGAGUAACACGUGGACAAUCUGCCCCCCGGCCCGGGAUAGCCCAGGGAAACCUGGAUUAAUACCGGAUGAGACGGGACCCGCGAUGGCGGGAUCCGGGAAAGGCGCUGCGGCGCCGCCGGGGGAUGAGUCUGCGUCCCAUUAGCUAGACGGCGGGGUAACGGCCCACCGUGGCGACGAUGGGUAGCCGGCCUGAGAGGGUGGACGGCCACAUUGGAACUGAGACACGGUCCAGACUCCUACGGGAGGCAGCAGCUAAGAAUCUUCCGCAAUGGGCGAAAGCCUGACGGAAGCGACGCCGCGUGAACGAAGAAGGCCGUGAGGUUGUAAAGUUCUUUUCGGGAGGGGGAACAACCGUGGCAGGGAAUGGCCGCGGGAUGACGUGAAUCCCGGAAUAAGCCCCGGCUAACUACGUGCCAGCCGCCGC